Molecule: long non-coding RNA, 329 nt
Filed under: Nicotiana tabacum (common tobacco)
Lineage: Eukaryota; Viridiplantae; Streptophyta; Magnoliopsida; Solanales; Solanaceae
Description: long non-coding RNA (NTAB_LNC011294)
Source: RNAcentral
UCGCUACAAAUCACCGGAUGUUUCACAUUCUUCCGAUCACAAACAAAUCGAACAGCUUGAACAACUGUAGAUGCAUACUCCUGAAGGCCAUAUCCAACUGAACAAUCGGAAUCACACGAUUUUGUACCAUCAUAGUCAAUUCCAAGGCCACCACCACAAUCAAUGUAUUUCAUGCCAGCACCAAGGCGGACUAAUUCACAGUAAAUCUGAGCGGCCUCACCCACGCCAUCAGCAAGCAAAGCCGUCGAAGGGAUCUGAGAUCCAAUAUGAAAAUGCAGCAGCUGAAGACAAUCCAACAUUCCGGAUUCUUCUAGCUUCUUCACCACACG